AAUGAGUUGUUUUGUCGCUUUUCAUUAUAGGUCAUAUGGGACUUUUUUUCUACACAAAAAUAAGCUCCAUAAUAUCCAUAGGGGAUUUACCCACUACAAAUAUUAUAGAGCC
Molecule: small RNA, 112 nt
Organism: Streptococcus pneumoniae R6
Lineage: Bacteria; Bacillati; Bacillota; Bacilli; Lactobacillales; Streptococcaceae
Rfam family: Streptococcus RNA 266
Source: Rfam